CCUACGGGAGGCAGCAGUGGGGGAUAUUGCACAAUGGGGGAAACCCUGAUGCAGCGACGCCGCGUGUGGGAAGACGGUCCUCUGGAUUGUAAACCACUGUCCCCAGGGACGAAGAUGCCGGUACCUGGUGAGGCCGCUCCGGCUAACUACGUGCCAGCAGCCGCGGUAAUACGGAGGGAGCGAGCGUUGUCCGGAAUUACUGGGUGUAAAGGGAGCGUAGGCGGGACUGCAAGUUGGGUGUCAAAUCUACCGGCUCAACCGGUAGCCGCACUCAAAACUGCAGGUCUUGAGUGAAGUAGAGGAAGGCGGAAUUCCUAGUGUAGCGGUGAAAUGCGUAGAUAUUAGGAGGAACACCAGUGGCGAAGGCGGCCUGCUGGGCUUUGACUGACGCUGAGGCUCGAAAGUGUGGGGAGCAAACAGGAUUAGAUACCCCUGUAGUC
RNAcentral lists this ribosomal RNA (440 nucleotides) under uncultured bacterium. RNAcentral describes it as "partial 16S ribosomal RNA". It matches the Rfam family "Bacterial small subunit ribosomal RNA", at positions 338 to 795 of the family's 1533-position model. The record is from RNAcentral.